Nicotiana tabacum (common tobacco) is the source of this 901-nucleotide non-coding RNA. Lineage: Eukaryota; Viridiplantae; Streptophyta; Magnoliopsida; Solanales; Solanaceae. The record is from RefSeq and is a predicted model, not a curated record.
UCGUGGUACCUCAUCAUAUUUUUCCUUGGUGAACUUCUAUUGUAUUUUGAGGAUAAAGAAAGGUUUUUGAUUGUUACAUAAUAAAUAAAGACUUCCAAUUGGCCAUAGUAAUCGCAUUCUCUUAUAAAUAUGAUGCCCCUUUAAUUCUCAUCCUAAUUAAUUCAGGACAAGCUAAGCAAGAGGAAUUACAGUUCAAGAAAGUUAUUUAAGAGGGAUGGCACACUCUAUUGAGAUUACCCCAAUAAAUCAUCGAACUCCACUGCUUCAUCAACCUACAGAACAUGAGAUAGAAGAAGGGAGGAAUGUGGAGUUAAUCGAGACAAAUCAAAUUCUUGAUGAAAUAUAUUUAGAUUUGUACCAUUUAUCUACCAAAUCUUGUACCAUAUUCAGAGUAAGUGUCGGGCUAAGUGAAUCAAAUCCGGAUGCUUAUAAGCCAAUGUUGGUCUCUAUUGGUCCCUACCAUAAGAAGAUUACAACUACGCUUAAUGGACAAUUAUAAAUUGCAUUACUUACAACGGUUUCUCAGAAGGAAAGAAGGGCUUGAUGUGAAAACUUGCAUUACUGAAUUGGGAAAAUUGAAAGAUGAGACACUAAAGUGUUAUGAUGGUAUAGAAGAUAUUUAUAGUUACAACAAUACGGGUCAAUUUUUGAAAAUGUUGUUGGUUGAUGGUUGUUUUAUAGUUGAGUUUAUACGAGAGCGUUGUGGAAGGAAGCCAACAGAAGAAGACAUUAUUAUCCCCUACAGUUGCAUAGAUGGUCUAGUUCCAAUAUGCUACAGUAACGGGCUAAAUCGGGUCCGCCCGGCCCGAUUAGCGGGUAUACUUCGAGCACACUAAACUCCCCUACUGGUAGGAUAUAAUAGAGAUAUCUAGUGAAUUGAUCAAUAUGUGCACCAACUAAU